UACGGAGGUUGCAAGCGUUAUCCGGAUUCAUUGGGUUUAAAGGGUGCGUAGGCGGGACGGUAAGUCAGUGGUGAAAGCCUGCAGCUUAACUGUAGAAUUGCCAUUGAUACUGCUGUUCUUGAGUGCAGCUGAGGUGGGCGGAAGGUGUAGUGUAGCGGUGAAAUGCUUAGAUAUUACACAGAACACCGAUUGCGAAGGCAGCUCACUAAACUGUAACUGACGCUGAGGCACGAAAGCGUGGGGAGCAAACAGG
This 253-nucleotide ribosomal RNA is filed under the name uncultured bacterium. Its description in RNAcentral is "partial 16S ribosomal RNA". It matches the Rfam family "Bacterial small subunit ribosomal RNA", at positions 524 to 776 of the family's 1533-position model. The record is from RNAcentral.